UACAGAGGUCUCAAGCGUUGUUCGGAUUCAUUGGGCGUAAAGGGUGCGUAGGCGGCGCGGUAAGUCGGGUGUGAAAUCUCGGAGCUUAACUCCGAAACUGCAUUCGAUACUGCCGUGCUUGAGGACUGGAGAGGAGACUGGAAUUUACGGUGUAGCGGUGAAAUGCGUAGAUAUCGUAAGGAAGACCAGUGGCGAAGGCGGGUCUCUGGACAGUUCCUGACGUGAGGCACGAAGGUCAGGGGAGCAAACAGG
RNAcentral lists this ribosomal RNA (252 nucleotides) under uncultured bacterium. RNAcentral describes it as "partial 16S ribosomal RNA". It matches the Rfam family "Bacterial small subunit ribosomal RNA", at positions 524 to 776 of the family's 1533-position model. The record is from RNAcentral.